Molecule: ribosomal RNA, 470 nt
Filed under: uncultured bacterium
Lineage: Bacteria
Description: partial 16S ribosomal RNA
Rfam family: Bacterial small subunit ribosomal RNA
Source: RNAcentral
ACGAACGCUGGCGGCGUGCUUAACACAUGCAAGUCGAACGAUGAAGCGGUGCUUGCACCGUGGAUUAGUGGCGAACGGGUGAGUAAUACGUGAGUGACCUACCUUUGACUCUGGGAUAAGCCUGGGAAACUGGGUCUAAUACCGGAUACGACCAAUCUCUGCAUGGGGUGUUGGUGGAAAGCGUUAUGGAGUGGUUUUAGAUGGGCUCACGGCCUAUCAGCUUGUUGGUGAGGUAAUGGCUUACCAAGGCGACGACGGGUAGCCGGCCUGAGAGGGUGACCGGCCACACUGGGACUGAGACACGGGCCAGACUCCUACGGGAGGCAGCAGUGGGGAAUAUUGCACAAUGGGCGCAAGCCUGAUGCAGCGACGCCGCGUGAGGGAUGACGGCCUUCGGGUUGUAAACCUCUGUUAGCAUCGAAGAAGCGAAAGUGACGGUAGGUGCAGAGAAAGCGCCGGCUAACUACGUG